UGGACGCCAACUUGGCUUUGCCUUCCAA
This 28-nucleotide small RNA is filed under the name Bombyx mori (domestic silkworm). RNAcentral describes it as "ovarian small RNA-34562". Lineage: Eukaryota; Metazoa; Arthropoda; Insecta; Lepidoptera; Bombycidae. The record is from RNAcentral.